RNAcentral lists this ribosomal RNA (497 nucleotides) under uncultured bacterium. RNAcentral's name for it is "partial 16S ribosomal RNA". It matches the Rfam family "Bacterial small subunit ribosomal RNA", at positions 28 to 507 of the family's 1533-position model. The record is from RNAcentral.
GAUGAACGCUGGCGGCGUGCCUAAUACAUGCAAGUCGAGCGAACAGACGAGGAGCUUGCUCCUCUGACGUUAGCGGCGGACGGGUGAGUAACACGUGGAUAACCUACCUAUAAGACUGGGAUAACUUCGGGAAACCGGAGCUAAUACCGGAUAAUAUAUUGAACCGCAUGGUUCAAUAGUGAAAGACGGUUUUGCUGUCACUUAUAGAUGGAUCCGCGCCGCAUUAGCUAGUUGGUAAGGUAACGGCUUACCAAGGAAACGAUGCGUAGCCGACCUGAGAGGGUGAUCGGCCACACUGGAAGUGAGACACGGUCCAGACUCCUACGGGAGGCAGCAGUAGGGAAUCUUCCGCAAUGGGCGGAAGCCUGACGGAGCAACGCCGCGUGAGUGAUGAAGGUCUUCGGAUCGUAAAACUCUGUUAUUAGGGAAGAACAAAUGUGUAAGUAACUAUGCACGUCUUGACGGUACCUAAUCAGAAAGCCACGGCUAACUACGUG